GACGAACGCUGGCGGCGUGCCUAAUACAUGCAAGUCGAACGCUGAAGGAGGAGCUUGCUUCUCUGGAUGAGUUGCGAACGGGUGAGUAACGCGUAGGUAACCUGCCUGGUAGCGGGGGAUAACUAUUGGAAACGAUAGCUAAUACCGCAUAAUAGUAGAUGUUGCAUGACAUUUGCUUAAAAGGUGCAAUUGCAUCACUACCAGAUGGACCUGCGUUGUAUUAGCUAGUUGGUGGGGUAACGGCUCACCAAGGCGACGAUACAUAGCCGACCUGAGAGGGUGAUCGGCCACACUGGGACUGAGACACGGCCCAGACUCCUACGGGAGGCAGCAGUAGGGAAUCUUCGGCAAUGGACGGAAGUCUGACCGAGCAACGCCGCGUGAGUGAAGAAGGGUUUCGGAUCGUAAAGCUCUGUUGUAAGAGAAGAACGAGUGUGAGAGUAGAAAGUUCACACUGUGACGGUAUCUUACCAGAAAGGGACGGCUAACUACGUG
RNAcentral lists this ribosomal RNA (495 nucleotides) under uncultured bacterium. Its description in RNAcentral is "partial 16S ribosomal RNA". It matches the Rfam family "Bacterial small subunit ribosomal RNA", at positions 28 to 507 of the family's 1533-position model. The record is from RNAcentral.